GGAACUUCUCAUCCUUGACUUAGCAGGACAACUGUCAGAUCUUGAGCUAGAGGCAGCUGCCUAAAGUUGAGAUGGCAAAGAAGCUAAAGAUUUACUUGGGACGUGAUUUGGUCCAAAGGAUAUGAUAUCAACAGAGCAAAUUCCAGGAGCUGGUUAGUGUGGCAUGCAAUUCACAGCUCACAUCUGGGGCUUAAGAAACCCUCCGCCAGGGCCCAGUGGCAUAUGCUGGCUGGCCAUGAAUACUGCCAUUGAAGACAGCACUGUAGCCAAGGGUGAGGUUACAGCAACACUGAACACCACAUACAAAAGAAUCACUCAAAAUGCAGCAGAUUCCUCUGCUUUGGAUGAGACCAUUUCCAGUGAAUCAACGAUGGAGGCUCUUGGAUGAGAUGAAUGGGAUUUCGAAAUGGAAAUCUUCCCAUCCCCCAAGCACACCCUGAACCCAAGGAUGGAAUUUCUGUGUGGCCAGCAAGGACUUAUCUUCGGAAGCUUCCAAGAAUUUCCAAGGGAAAAAGGUUGUAUUUUGGCAACGUUAGGGUCCACUUGAUUUUCCUUUACUUUCACAUAUUUGGCUUGAGGAUUAUCCAUCUUUGGUCCAAAGGAAGUAGAAUCAUGCAGCUACUGUUAAAAUUGCUCAGUCAGCUACUUCUGGAAGAAAAUCAGCAUGGUGGAUGUCUAGAAGCAAAUAUUGUACAAAAUGAACAGAGUGCUAGAAAUGACUUCACAAAGACACAUUCAAAUUCUGAUUCAGCCACUUCUAAGAACCUGAGCAAGUCACUUGAUGACUCUCAGACUUCAGUUUCCUCAUCUGUAAAAUGCAGAUAAUAAUAGUAUUAUGGGUAGUAGAGAAAGCGAAGGCAACCCCAUUUUGCCUGUAACUCCUCUAUUUUGCCCCUGACCAUGUUGGUGUUACAAUCCCCAUCCUGUCUUCUACCUUCCUUUCUGGGGAGUUGGCAAGAACAAUCUUCUCUUAUACAGUGGGAUUAUAAACCAGAGCUAACCUGAAGAAGAACCUUUCUAUUGCUAGCCCCCAGCAACUGUCCAAUCCCAAAAUGCCCCAUGCCCAAGUCAUCACCUGCCCAAAAGGAAACCUAUAGAAGCUUGAUCCUUUUGUUCUUUUGGAGGAGUCUCUGCCCAUGUCAGUGGCGCUCCCAUGCUGGUCAACUCAAUAAACCUUCCUUGGUUCCUCA
Molecule: long non-coding RNA, 1190 nt
Filed under: Monodelphis domestica (gray short-tailed opossum)
Lineage: Eukaryota; Metazoa; Chordata; Mammalia; Didelphimorphia; Didelphidae
Description: lncRNA (ENSMODG00000039274.1)
Source: RNAcentral